CAGCCGCCGCGGUAAUACAGAGGGUGCAAGCGUUAAUCGGAAUUACUGGGCGUAAAGCGCGCGUAGGUGGUUUGUUAAGUUGGAUGUGAGAUCCCCGGGCUCAACCUGGGAACUGCAUUCGAAACUGACUGACUAGAGUAUGGUAGAGGGUGGUGGAAUUUCCUGUGUAGCGGGGAAAUGCGUAGAUAUAGGAAGGAACACCAGUGGCGAAGGCGACCACCUGGACUAAUACUGACACUGAGGUGCGAAAGCGUGGGGAGCAAACAGGAUUAGAGACCCGCGUAGUCCCUGUCUCUUAUAA
Molecule: ribosomal RNA, 301 nt
Filed under: uncultured bacterium
Lineage: Bacteria
Description: partial 16S ribosomal RNA
Rfam family: Bacterial small subunit ribosomal RNA
Source: RNAcentral